UACGUAGGUGGCAAGCGUUGUCCGGAAUUAUUGGGCGUAAAGAGUUCGUAGGCGGUUUGUCGCGUCGGUUGUGAAAACCCGCAGCUCAACUGCUGGCUUGCAGGCGAUACUGGCAGACUUGAGUACUGCAGGGGAGACUGGAAUUUCUGGUGUAGCGGUGAAAUGCGCAGAUAUCUGGAGGAACACCGGUGGCGAAGGCGGGUCUCUGGGCAGUAACUGACGCUGAGGAACGAAAGCGUGGGUAGCGAACAGG
Molecule: ribosomal RNA, 253 nt
Filed under: uncultured bacterium
Lineage: Bacteria
Description: partial 16S ribosomal RNA
Rfam family: Bacterial small subunit ribosomal RNA
Source: RNAcentral